This 85-nucleotide transfer RNA is filed under the name Candidatus Omnitrophica bacterium CG1_02_49_16. Its description in RNAcentral is "tRNA-Leu". It matches the Rfam family "tRNA". From Rfam's summary of the family: Transfer RNA (tRNA) molecules are approximately 80 nucleotides in length. Their secondary structure includes four short double-helical elements and three loops (D, anti-codon, and T loops). Further hydrogen bonds mediate the characteristic L-shaped molecular structure. tRNAs have two regions of fundamental functional importance: the anti-codon, which is responsible for specific mRNA codon recognition, and the 3' end, to which the tRNAs corresponding amino acid is attached (by aminoacyl-tRNA synthetases). tRNAs cope with the degeneracy of the genetic code in two manners: having more than one tRNA (with a specific anti-codon) for a particular amino acid; and 'wobble' base-pairing, i.e. permitting non-standard base-pairing at the 3rd anti-codon position. The record is from RNAcentral. Lineage: Bacteria; Pseudomonadati; Candidatus Omnitrophota.
GCGGGGGUGGCUAAGUUUGGCCAAAAGCGGGGGACUUAAGAUCCCCUCCCUUAGGGGUUCGGGAGUUCAAAUCUCUCCCCCCGCA